RNAcentral lists this non-coding RNA (1278 nucleotides) under Drosophila persimilis. RNAcentral's name for it is "Eukaryotic large subunit ribosomal RNA". It matches the Rfam family "Eukaryotic large subunit ribosomal RNA", at positions 1270 to 2231 of the family's 3401-position model. Lineage: Eukaryota; Metazoa; Arthropoda; Insecta; Diptera; Drosophilidae. The record is from Rfam by way of RNAcentral.
GCUAAGGAGUGUGUAACAACUCACCUGCCGAAGCAACUAGCCCUUAAAAUGGAUGGCGCUUAAGUUGUAUACCUAUACAUUACCGCUAAAGUAGAUGAUUUAUAUUACUUGUGAUAUAAAUUUUGAAACUUUAGUGAGUAGGAAGGUACAAUGGUAUGCGUAGAAGUGUUUGGCGUAAGCCUUCAUGGAGCUGCCAUUGGCACAGAUCUUGGUGGUAGUAGCAAAUAAUCGAAUGAGACCUUGGAGGACUGAAGUGGAGAAGGGUUUCGUGUGAACAGUGGUUGAUCACGAGUUAGUCGGUCCUAAGUUCAAGGCGAAAGCCGAAAAUUUUCAAGUAAAAAAUCAGUGAGUAAUAUUGUCAAAUCUUUUAUGAUUUUUAAAUACUUGAAUAAUUUUGAACGAAAGGGAAUACGGUUCCAAUUCCGUAACCUGUUGAGUAUCCGUUUGUUAUUAAAUAUGGGCCUCGUGCUCAUCCUGGCAACAGGAACGACCAUAAAGAAGCCGUCGAGAGAUAUCGGAAGAGUUUUCUUUUCUGUUUUAUAGCCGUACUACCAUGGAAGUCUUUCGCAGAGAGAUAUGGGUAGAUGGGCUAGAAGAGCAUGACAUAUACUGUUGUGUCGAUAUUUUCUCCUCGGACCUUGAAAAUUUAUGGUGGGGACACGCAAACUUCUCAACAGGCCGUACCAAUAUCCGCAGCUGGUCUCCAAGGUGAAGAGUCUCUAGUCGAUAGAAUAAUGUAGGUAAGGGAAGUCGGCAAAUUAGAUCCGUAACUUCGGGAUAAGGAUUGGCUCUGAAGAUUGAGAUAGUCGGGCUUGAUUGGGAAACAAUAACAUGGUUUAUGUGCUCGUUCUGGGUAAAUAGAGUUUCUAUCAUUUAUGGUAGUUACUUGUUCCCCGGAUAGUUUAGUUACGUAGCCAAUUGUGGAACUUUCUUGCUAAAAUUUUUAAGAAUACUAAUUGGGUUAAACCAGUUAGUUCUUAUUAAUUAUAACGAUUAUCAAUUAACAAUCAAUUCAGAACUGGCACGGACUUGGAGAAUCCGACUGUCUAAUUAAAACAAAGCAUUGUGAUGGCCCUAGCGGGUGUUGACACAAUGUGAUUUCUGCCCAGUGCUCUGAAUGUCAAAGUGAAGAAAUUUGGAAGAUAUGGGUCUUGGAAGAUAUGGGUCUGAAUAAUAGCGUAGAAGGGGAGUCAUUCCGUAAUUCGUAAAUCGUAAAAAUCAGAUCAAGUUGAUUCAAGACCUCCUCGUGGUAUCUUCUGGAUGCUAUUAGACUGAAGU